RNAcentral lists this ribosomal RNA (425 nucleotides) under uncultured rumen bacterium. RNAcentral describes it as "bacterial SSU rRNA". It matches the Rfam family "Bacterial small subunit ribosomal RNA", at positions 354 to 776 of the family's 1533-position model. The record is from RNAcentral.
GUGAGGAAUAUUGGACAAUGGCCGGAAGGCUGAUCCAGCCAUGCCGCGUGCGGGAAGACGGCCCUAUGGGUUGUAAACCGCUUUUGUUGGGGAGCAAUAAGUCCUACGCGUAGGAUGAUGAGAGUACCCAGCGAAUAAGCAUCGGCUAACUCCGUGCCAGCAGCCGCGGUAAUACGGAGGAUGCAAGCGUUAUCCGGAUUUAUUGGGUUUAAAGGGUGCGUAGGCGGAUGCUUAAGCGUGAGGUGAAAUGCCCGGGCUCAACCUGGGAACUGCCUCGCGAACUGGGUAUCUGGAAUGUCCGUGCCGUGGGAGGAAUGUGUGGUGUAGCGGUGAAAUGCAUAGAGAUCACACAGAACACCGAUUGCGAAGGCAUCUCACGAACGGAUGAUUGACGCUGAGGCACGAAAGCGUGGGGAUCAAACAGG